Molecule: non-coding RNA, 162 nt
Organism: Carollia perspicillata (Seba's short-tailed bat)
Lineage: Eukaryota; Metazoa; Chordata; Mammalia; Chiroptera; Phyllostomidae
Source: Rfam
GGACCCCUGCCACGUACAAAGAUAGGAUUCUGCACCCCAGAAUCACUUACCAUUUUAAUAUGCUUAGCCCUUGGAUUCAGUCAGACCGCAGACCAUGGUUUUCUGGCUUUUCAUCUUUAGCGUGGCUGCUUGUCAGGACACUGUCUUCUUGCUUUAUAUAAA